Molecule: long non-coding RNA, 444 nt
Organism: Wyeomyia smithii (pitcher-plant mosquito)
Lineage: Eukaryota; Metazoa; Arthropoda; Insecta; Diptera; Culicidae
Exons: 2
Source: RefSeq, a predicted model, not a curated record
UAUAUGUAUAUGUCAAAAGUUUUCAACAGCGAUAUUAUCUGUUUCCGAAGAACAAUUGGUGUCGCUUUUUAUUCGUUUGCUAGCACUCAACAUCAUUAUUGCAGAGGAUUUGAAAACAUAAAAAACAUCUCUUCAAAAUGAACAACCGCAUGUUGUGUGUCCUGCGAUGCCGUUUUAAGUCAGGCUUUUAUUCGUGAUAAUGAACGGAAACAUUUGUAUCGAUGUACAGUGCCCAAUACAUGCAAUCGAUACAAUUCAAAUCCUUCGCAGUGUUUGGUGACGGAUGAUGACGGAUUUUCUGGUGUGCGUACUGUACAAAAACAUGAGCCACAGUUCACGGGCAACUGUGAAUCGGUUGGUCGCCGCAUUAUAUAAAGACACGUGAAUGAUUUAAAACUUUUAUAAUGUUUCGAUGAAAAAUAAAUCUGUUUUGAUUGUUCUGAA